This 253-nucleotide ribosomal RNA is filed under the name uncultured bacterium. RNAcentral's name for it is "partial 16S ribosomal RNA". It matches the Rfam family "Bacterial small subunit ribosomal RNA", at positions 524 to 776 of the family's 1533-position model. The record is from RNAcentral.
UACGUAGGGGGCAAGCGUUGUCCGGACUUACUGGGCGUAAAGCGUGUGCAGGCGGGCCGCUAUGUGCCGUGUGAAAGCUCUCAGCUUAUCUGGGAGAGGUCGCGGUAGACAGGCAGCCUGGAGGCUCGGAGAGGUCAGUGGAAUUCUCGGUGUAGUGGUGAAAUGCGUAGAUAUCGGGAGGAACACCAGUGGCGAAGGCGACUACCUGGCCUGUUCUUGACGCUGAGGCGCGAAAGCUAGGGGAGCAAACGGG